UUGGAGUUUGAUACAAAGUAACUCAAUUUCCACUUUAUCACAGAGUUAGAUAGACUGUCACACUUCCCUAUUUUUUCCAUAGCCAUUCAAUGUCCUCUCUCUCUCCCCUAAACCCUAAGAAAUUUCUCAGAAAACUAAUCUUCAAUCUCGAUCUCAUCUCUCUUCUUCAUAUCUGCUCUCCCCCUCUCUCUCUCUCACAAACGAUUUCCCAAAAAACAAAGCAACUCUCAUCUCUCUCCGUCAUCUGUUUCUCACUAUUUUACCUCUUAUCAUCGAUCUUUAAUUUCCUCUUUAAUAGUGAUUGUAAUGGAGAAGUGUUGUGAACAAGGGUGUGGAGAUGUUGGGUGAUGGCAGUCGUGGUGGUUGCGACUAGUGGUUGGUGGCUGUUGCUGAAAAGAGCGAAGGCCGUGGCGUUGAUAGAGCGACAAGCAACGACGGGAAAAGAGUGAUUUUUUCCACACUUAUCAAAUUCUCGAAAUCACUCGAACCGACUGCUAAACUGAGUUCUUUGGUUCGGUCGAUUUUGAACUUCACAACGGUCGGCGAUGCAUAACAAAUUUUCUCACCCGAUGCUGUCGGUUCGGCUGACGGGCUAUGGAUAAACCUGAGCCGACCCAACCCGACCCAUGCACACCCCCUUCCACAUCAAAUGAUCAAUAUUCUCAAUACCCACAUCCCACUUGACAAUAAACCAUACAUUGUUAUGUGGCACCAAACUAAACAUGGGUGCUAUUCGAUUAAGUCAGGCUAUUACAUGGCGUUGAAAAGACCAUUUUACGUUAGCCAAAAAUGAUAAGGGGAUUGAUGGUGAUAUUUGAAAGAAAGUUAGGAAACUAAACUUUCCAGCCAAGUGGUCAAUGUUCAUUUGGAAUUUUAUUCGCCGAGUAUUGCAUGCUGAUCUAUCUCUUGCCAAAAGGGGAUUUCAAAAUGAUUUUAACUGUCCUAGAUGUCAAGAAGAGAUUGAAACCCUUAAACAUGUAUUUUUCUGUUGCCCCUUUGCAAAACGAAUUUGGAGAGGAUAAUGUUUGGGGUGAAAAUUUGUUAUAGGAAACCCAAUAGAGGCUGAUUCUUGGUUUCUUGAGUGGAUCAAAACUGCACUUGAUAAUGAAACUAUCGCUGAAUCCAUCAAAAUUCUUUGGGUAAUACGGCUUCAUCACAACAAAGCAUCCUCUGAACAUAUUGUAGAGGACCCAAUUUGACCUGUGGUUUCUGUUAACCAACUGGAUUUUUUUUGGGUAUUCAGUAAAAAUAUUUUUUCAUUUCGCGGACGUCCUUGUCAUCUAUGGCUGUUGAAAAUAAUUCUCUGAAUUCCGUAAUUUUUUCUAACAAUGCACAAUGCUUUCCAAAGACUACUUUUGACAGGUUUAUAAUAGAUGGAGCUUGGAAUUCAAAGAAAGCAAGGGCUGCCUAGCUUGUGUUCAACAACAAUGGACAACAAUCAAGGCCUAUGGAGUUCUCUUUUGUUUUUUUUGCCUCAUCAACAUUGAUGGCUGAAGCUUGUGCAUGCUUAGAAGUUUUGGGAUGGGGCGUGUCCCACAAUGUCAACACAGCUGCUAUCCAUACUGACAUUAGUUAACAGUAUUACAAAUAGUAAAGGAAGUGAAUGGGAUGUAGACGAUGUUAUUUUGGAUAUUUGAAAAUAUAUAUGCAUCUUAUCUCUCAAAAAAACAAAAAGAAGGGAUUUUCA
Molecule: long non-coding RNA, 1687 nt
Organism: Camellia sinensis
Lineage: Eukaryota; Viridiplantae; Streptophyta; Magnoliopsida; Ericales; Theaceae
Source: RefSeq, a predicted model, not a curated record